RNAcentral lists this unclassified non-coding RNA (325 nucleotides) under soil metagenome. RNAcentral's name for it is "partial contains 5.8S ribosomal RNA, internal transcribed spacer 2, and large subunit ribosomal RNA". The stretch from base 1 to 120 matches the Rfam family "5.8S ribosomal RNA", at positions 35 to 154 of the family's 154-position model. The record is from RNAcentral.
GAUGAAGAACGCAGCGAAAUGCGAUAAGUAGUGUGAAUUGCAGAAUUCAGUGAGUCAUCGAAUCUUUGAACGCACAUUGCGCCCUGUGGUAUUCCGCAGGGCAUGCCUGUUCGAGCGUCAUUUCAACCCUCAAGCCCCGCUUGGUGUUGGGCCCCGCCCGCCGUGGCCGGCCCUAAAGACAGUGGCGGCGCCGCCUGGCCCUCAGCGUAGUACAGCUCUCGCUCCAGGGUCCGGCGGCCGCCUGCCAGAACCCCCCCAACUCUGUGGUUGACCUCGGAUCAGGUAGGGAUACCCGCUGAACUUAAGCAUAUCAAUAAGCGGAGGA